GGUUGAUCCUGCCCGAGGUCACUGCUAUUGGGAUUCGACUAAGCCAUGCGAGUCGCGAGGGUUCGGCCCUCGNCUGACGGCUCAGUAACACGCGGAUAAUCUGCCCUUAGGAGGAGGAUAAUCUCGGGAAACUGAGAAUAAUAUUCCAUAGAUUUAGGAUGCUGGAAUGCACUUAAAUUAAAAGCUUCGGCGCCUAAGGAUGAGUCUGCGGACUAUCAGGUUGUAGUCAGGGUAACGACCUGACUAGCCUACGACGGAUACGGGUUGUGAGAGCAAUAACCCGGAGAUGAUAUCUGAGACACGAUAUCAGGCCCUACGGGGCGCAGCAGGCGCGAAAACUUCGCAAUGUGCGAAAGCACGACGAGGGAAUCCCAAGUGCUGGCUCGUUAGAGUCAGCUGUUUUUAUGUCUAAAAAGCAUAGAGAGUAAGGGCUGGGUAAGACGGGUGCCAGCCGCCGCGGUAA
Molecule: ribosomal RNA, 463 nt
Filed under: uncultured archaeon
Lineage: Archaea
Description: bacterial SSU rRNA
Rfam family: Archaeal small subunit ribosomal RNA
Source: RNAcentral